UCUUUGACCAAACAAAAGAAAAAAAAAUGAUAUGUUACUCUAUAAUGUUUCAAAUACCUUAUUGCAAUAUUUUUUAUAGUAAUCACAAGGUCAGAAGGUCAGCAUACAAGAUUUACUUCCUAUUAGAUAUAUACAUUAUUUGAAAAUAAAGAAAUAUAUAUAAAACAAAAUAUUUGACCAUUCAGAAAAAGAUUCCACUUUUCUAAUGUUUUAAUUACCUUAUUUCUUAGAUUUUAAAAAGUCAAAAAGUCCAC
RNAcentral lists this long non-coding RNA (254 nucleotides) under Brassica rapa (field mustard). Its description in RNAcentral is "long non-coding RNA (BRAP_LNC000377)". Lineage: Eukaryota; Viridiplantae; Streptophyta; Magnoliopsida; Brassicales; Brassicaceae. The record is from RNAcentral.